UAUUGAGGAAAUAAACAUUAAGACACUAAAAUACCAAGGAAAUCAAGAUAAGUAGUCUAAAAGUGCGGGAAGUCGAGUUGGGCUGGUAUUGGAGUUUUACAACCAGGCACAUGUGCUUCGGCAAACACGCCUCCUCAGUAGCUCCAGUUUGCUUCGGGGCGAGUCGGUUUCAUAUAUUUUUGAUAUUGUAUAAAAGUUAAUAGUAUGGCGGGGGUUUGUACUGACCUUAGCUAAAUUUUGUGUAUCGUCUAAAGGCUUUGUAGACCAAUGUAAAGUUAAGCAUGGUAGUGUGUUAUCUUGUAGAUGUUAUGGCCCCAACGGCCAAGUCUAUUAUGUAUAUAGUUUUAGGGCUUGUCGUUUAUAUUUUUUUUUUCAUUAAGGCAUUAUAUCCGUAUAUGGAAAAACCUUUG
Capsicum annuum is the source of this 410-nucleotide long non-coding RNA. RefSeq lists it as uncharacterized. The record is from RefSeq and is a predicted model, not a curated record. Lineage: Eukaryota; Viridiplantae; Streptophyta; Magnoliopsida; Solanales; Solanaceae. The transcript is spliced from 3 exons.